GGAGAGAUGGCUCAGUGGUUAAGAGCACUGACUGCUCUUCCAGAGGUCCUGAGUUCAAUUCCCAGCACCA
Molecule: transfer RNA, 70 nt
Filed under: Mus musculus (house mouse)
Lineage: Eukaryota; Metazoa; Chordata; Mammalia; Rodentia; Muridae
Description: tRNA-Ser
Source: RNAcentral